This is a non-coding RNA of Felis catus (domestic cat), 85 nucleotides long. The record is from Rfam. NCBI's taxonomy places the organism in Eukaryota, Metazoa, Chordata, Mammalia, Carnivora, Felidae.
GCCCGGCUGGCUCAGUCGGUCAAGCAUCUGACUUCAGCUCAGGUCACGAUCCCGCGGUCCGUGAGUUCGAGCCCCGCAUCGGGCU